Molecule: ribosomal RNA, 496 nt
Filed under: uncultured bacterium
Lineage: Bacteria
Description: partial 16S ribosomal RNA
Rfam family: Bacterial small subunit ribosomal RNA
Source: RNAcentral
GACGAACGCUGGCGGCGUGCCUAAUACAUGCAAGUAGAACGCUGAAGCUUGGUGCUUGCACCGAGCGGAUGAGUUGCGAACGGGUGAGUAACGCGUAGGUAACCUGCCUGGUAGCGGGGGAUAACUAUUGGAAACGAUAGCUAAUACCGCAUAAGAGUAGAUGUUGCAUGACAUUUGCUUAAAAGGUGCAAUUGCAUCACUACCAGCUGGACCUGCGUUGUAUUAGCUAGUUGGUGAGGUAACGGCUCACCAAGGCAACGAUACAUAGCCGACCUGAGAGGGUGAUCGGCCACACUGGGACUGAGACACGGCCCAGACUCCUACGGGAGGCAGCAGUAGGGAAUCUUCGGCAAUGGACGGAAGUCUGACCGAGCAACGCCGCGUGAGUGAAGAAGGUUUUCGGAUCGUAAAGCUCUGUUGUAAGGGAAGAACGAGUGUGAGAGUGGAAAGUUCACACUGGGACGGUAUCUUACCAGAAAGGGACGGCUAACUACGU